Molecule: ribosomal RNA, 1492 nt
Filed under: Ruminococcus bicirculans (ex Wegman et al. 2014)
Lineage: Bacteria; Bacillati; Bacillota; Clostridia; Eubacteriales; Oscillospiraceae
Also listed under: 2 other names
Description: bacterial SSU rRNA
Rfam family: Bacterial small subunit ribosomal RNA
Source: RNAcentral
AGAGUUUGAUCCUGGCUCAGGACGAACGCUGGCGGCACGCUUAACACAUGCAAGUCGAACGAGAGAAGAGAAGCUUGCUUUUCUGAUCUAGUGGCGGACGGGUGAGUAACACGUGAGCAAUCUGCCUUUCAGAGGGGGAUACCGAUUGGAAACGAUCGUUAAUACCGCAUAACAUAAUUGAACCGCAUGAUUUGAUUAUCAAAGAUUUAUCGCUGAAAGAUGAGCUCGCGUCUGAUUAGCUAGUUGGUAAGGUAACGGCUUACCAAGGCGACGAUCAGUAGCCGGACUGAGAGGUUGAUCGGCCACAUUGGGACUGAGACACGGCCCAGACUCCUACGGGAGGCAGCAGUGGGGAAUAUUGCACAAUGGAGGAAACUCUGAUGCAGCGAUGCCGCGUGAGGGAAGAAGGUUUUAGGAUUGUAAACCUCUGUCUUUGGGGACGAAAAAUGACGGUACCCAAGGAGGAAGCUCCGGCUAACUACGUGCCAGCAGCCGCGGUAAUACGUAGGGAGCGAGCGUUGUCCGGAAUUACUGGGUGUAAAGGGAGCGUAGGCGGGAUCGCAAGUCAGAUGUGAAAACUAUGGGCUUAACCCAUAAACUGCAUUUGAAACUGUGGUUCUUGAGUGAAGUAGAGGUAAGCGGAAUUCCUAGUGUAGCGGUGAAAUGCGUAGAUAUUAGGAGGAACAUCAGUGGCGAAGGCGGCUUACUGGGCUUUAACUGACGCUGAGGCUCGAAAGCGUGGGGAGCAAACAGGAUUAGAUACCCUGGUAGUCCACGCCGUAAACGAUGAUUACUAGGUGUGGGGGGACUGACCCCUUCCGUGCCGCAGCAAACGCAAUAAGUAAUCCACCUGGGGAGUACGACCGCAAGGUUGAAACUCAAAGGAAUUGACGGGGGCCCGCACAAGCAGUGGAGUAUGUGGAUUAAUUCGAAGCAACGCGAAGAACCUUACCAGGUCUUGACAUCGUAUGCAUAGCUCAGAGAUGAGUGAAAUCUCUUCGGAGACAUAUAGACAGGUGGUGCAUGGUUGUCGUCAGCUCGUGUCGUGAGAUGUUGGGUUAAGUCCCGCAACGAGCGCAACCCUUACUGUUAGUUGCUACGCAAGAGCACUCUAGCAGGACUGCCGUUGACAAAACGGAGGAAGGUGGGGAUGACGUCAAAUCAUCAUGCCCCUUAUGACCUGGGCCUCACACGUACUACAAUGGCUGUCAACAGAGGGAUGCAAAGCCGCGAGGUGGAGCGAACCCCUAAAAGCAGUCUUAGUUCGGAUUGUAGGCUGCAACCCGCCUACAUGAAGUCGGAAUUGCUAGUAAUCGCAGAUCAGCAUGCUGCGGUGAAUACGUUCCCGGGCCUUGUACACACCGCCCGUCACGCCAUGGGAGUCGGUAACACCCGAAGCCUGUAGUCUAACCGCAAGGAGGACGCAGUCGAAGGUGGGAUUGAUGACUGGGGUGAAGUCGUAACAAGGUAGCCGUAUCGGAAGGUGCGGCUG